GCCGUUUGUCUUUGUCGGUCAUUGCAAAUGUUACUUGUUUUCCUGAGAGGAAUCUCGCCUACUAUUUCCUGAGUACUUUAUAUUAUGCACUUUGGGUUCGCCCUGUGCCUUUUUGUUUAUGAAGAUAUAUAUAUAUUUUUUCACCUUUAUUUAACCAGGUAGGCCAGUUGAGAACAAGUUCUCAUAUAAAACUGCAACCUGGCCAAGAUAAAGCAAAGCAGUGAGACAAAAAACAACAACACGGAGUUACACAUGGGAUAAACAGAAGUACAGUCAAUAACAAUAGAAAAAUCUAUAUACAGUGUGUGCAAAUGGAGUAAGGAGCCAGCGCUUUCAGCCAGCUAGGAACUGAAGACUCAACUGAUGGGGAUGCCGUGUCGUCGAACGUUGAAAGGGAUGCUAUUCCAUCGAGUUUACCCUUCACUUCAAAGAAGAAGGCAUCUGAUCAGCCAACAUCAGCGCAGCAGAAGAGAGGGCAAGCUGCGUUAAGAGUCCAAUCCCAUCAACAUUUGAAGAGGCUUCAACAUCAAGCUCAGCACCAGGAACUAGUGUAUGUCACCUACAAUCUACUAAAUCUUUCCAUGACGAGCAAAUGUAUAUACUGGAGCCAGGCAUAAACAUG
Salvelinus fontinalis (brook trout) is the source of this 622-nucleotide long non-coding RNA. RefSeq lists it as uncharacterized. NCBI's taxonomy places the organism in Eukaryota, Metazoa, Chordata, Actinopteri, Salmoniformes, Salmonidae. The record is from RefSeq and is a predicted model, not a curated record. The transcript has 3 exons.